UGGGAUGCGUGCCUCGGUGUAUAAUGCGAUGCCGAUGGCCGGUGCAGAGAAGCUUGUGGCAUUCAUGAAGGAUUUCCAAGCAAGGCAUGGCUGAUUUGAUUGACUUGCGGUGGUAGCUAAUCACUUUCAGGUCAAAAAAUGGCAAUUUAUUCUCAUGAAUUGUGUUUGCGGUAUUGUUAAUUCUAGUUAGAAAUCUUUAAUGUCUAUGAGGUUUUGGUCAUUCUAGUUUGAAAUCUAUUCAAUGUCA
This 247-nucleotide unclassified non-coding RNA is filed under the name Hevea brasiliensis (rubber tree). The record is from RNAcentral. Lineage: Eukaryota; Viridiplantae; Streptophyta; Magnoliopsida; Malpighiales; Euphorbiaceae.